Molecule: unclassified non-coding RNA, 302 nt
Filed under: Hevea brasiliensis (rubber tree)
Lineage: Eukaryota; Viridiplantae; Streptophyta; Magnoliopsida; Malpighiales; Euphorbiaceae
Source: RNAcentral
AUUGUUAGGUCUUGAUCAGGAAUUUUAAAGAAUGGUUUCCCAUUUUUUAUGGCAAUGAGUAGAUGCUUACUUAUAAUGCACAAGUCUCUACUCAUCUAUUUUCUUUUUCUCUAAAGAAUUAUCUAAAUUAAUGCUUGGCAUGGGACUUAUGUACAGGUGAAGUGAAUAUGAAAACAAAGGUUCAUACUUGCUCAUCUAUAAAAGUAGGUGCUAAAAUAUUUUGUUUGCCAAUGUAGCAUUUUUCAGUCAUUAAAUUCCUCUAGUUACAAGUCAUAGCCAGUUUGGUUCUUAGAAGUGAGAGU